AUUGAACGCUGGCGGCAGGCCUAACACAUGCAAGUCGAGCGGAGCGGCGGACGGGUGGGUAAUGCCUAGGAAUCUGCCUGGUCGUGGGGGAUAACGUCCGUAAACGGGCGCUUAUACCGCACACUAUCAGAUGAGCCUAGGUGGGAUUGGCUAGUGGGUGGGGUAAAGGCCUACCAAGGCGACGAUCCGUAACUGGUCUGAGAGGCUGAUCAGUCACACGGGAACUGGGACACGGUCAAGACUCCUACGGGAGGCAGAAGUGGGGAAUAUUGGACAAGGGGGGAAAGCCUGAUGCAGCAAUGCCGCGUGGGUGAAGAAGGUCUUCGGAUUGUAAAGCACGUUGAGUGGGAAGGCGUUACCUAAAGAAUAAGCACCGGCUAACUUCGUGCCAGCAGCCGCGGUAAUUC
Molecule: ribosomal RNA, 407 nt
Filed under: uncultured bacterium
Lineage: Bacteria
Description: partial 16S ribosomal RNA
Rfam family: Bacterial small subunit ribosomal RNA
Source: RNAcentral